AUGGACCUGGACAGCUUCCCACUUGACCACGAGUUUCCGGACGACUACGGGCAAGAGGAAGAGGACGAGUGCGACAUCGAAGUGGAGCCUUUGUUUGAGGACGAGCUCGCCAACCAAGCCGCCGGACCGAAGCCAAAGCGCAAGAGCAAGCGCACGAAGGCAUACACGGCAGCCGAGGAAAAGCUUAUUUGCGAGUGUUGGAGAGACAUUGGACAAGACCCCAAGAUAGGCGUCGAACAAAAGCAUUCAACUUUUUGGAUUCGUGUCCACCGGGAGUUUCAUGAGCGCAAGAAGUUUCCUCCCUACCAAAUUGUGAGCACGCGCGGGUGGGUGUCCAUUUCAAAGCGAUGGAGAGUGAUCCAGUAA
RNAcentral lists this ribosomal RNA (366 nucleotides) under Triticum aestivum (bread wheat). RNAcentral describes it as "partial small subunit ribosomal RNA". The record is from RNAcentral. Lineage: Eukaryota; Viridiplantae; Streptophyta; Magnoliopsida; Poales; Poaceae.